AGAACGGAGCCUUAGGCAUCCAGCCGUUGGGGUGUGCCACUCAGAUCUCCUUUAAAGGAAGAAAUUGCCAUGAGGAAUGUAGUUAUCUGACAGCCUCCAGCUGCCUCAACUUUGAGGUCUUUCGCAGCAUUCACUCAAAGGCCACAUAGUCCUGGUCAAAGACUAAACAUGGCAAAGUUUCUAGAGCUGGUCCAUUCUUGCUCAUCAUAGGAUUCCUCUAAUGGGAAAUCUUUCCCCAAGGGUUCCGCAUUAGCCUAACCAAGACUUUCUCUGAGACUCUUAGUUAUUAUGAUGCUACUUCCACCAGCACCAGGGUUCUUGUUGCUAUCUGGCUGUUGAGUGAUUCAGUCCCACUGAGCAAUGUCAACCUGAUUGUCUUUCUUUGUUUUUAAGAAACAGGGUCUUGCUCUGCUGCCCAGGCUGGAGCACAGUAGUGUGAUCAUAGCUCACUACAGCCUUCAACUCCUGGGCCUUAGCAAUCCUCCUGCCUCAGCCUCCCAAGGAGCUAUGGCUGCAGGUAUCCGCCACCACUCAUUGACAGCCACUUCCAGUACUCACUGUCUUGGACACAGACUUGAGUAAAAGUACAGAAACAGGGCCGGUAGGACCAGAGGCUCCCCCUCCUGGGUCAGAUUAUGCAGUAAGGAGCUUCACAGAAUACGACUGGAAAUCCACAUACCCACUUUUCUGUUUAAUUCAGGAAGCAGUUGCUAAACACAACUAACAGAGCAAAGGGCAAGAGGCCUGGAUGAAGAAAUACCCUCAGAAACUCCCACUCUUCUGGUUCCUGCUGAAGACUCCAGUAAUAAAAGUUAUUCAUACCUACCUCCACCAUCUUGGCUGGGAAGUCAAGGAAGAAGAUAGCAGCCCGCAACCCGGAAGAGGGCCCUCACCAGAACCUACCAUGCUGGCACCCAGACCUCAGACUUCCAGCCUCCAGAAAUGAGCUCCCUCUGCUGCAGGAACUCAACGAUAGGGAGGAAGAGUCCAGAAAAGUAGGGCUGUCAGCACCUCUGUGAGCAGCCGACGAUCCACAGCGGAUGGAGUUUGGUGGUAAAGGUACUCACUUCCUGUCUCUCUGGUGAUGAUUUUGAGCAUGUUCUACAAAGUCUUUCAGAUGGUCCCAGUAGGUUGGAGCCCAGCUGCCCUCAGUGGUAACCUGCCCAUUAACGUAUCCUGUGUUGGUUUCCUUUCCUCCCCUACCUCACCUCCCCACUCCCCUUUCUAUGAUUCCUAGAGUCACCUCCCAAAUAAACUUUCACAUUUACA
Molecule: long non-coding RNA, 1269 nt
Organism: Homo sapiens (human)
Lineage: Eukaryota; Metazoa; Chordata; Mammalia; Primates; Hominidae
Product: long intergenic non-protein coding RNA 2507
Source: Ensembl